GACAGAGGGUGCAAACGUUGCUCGGAAUCACUGGGCGUAAAGGGCGUGUAGGCGGGUAGGCAAGUCGGGCGUGAAAUCCCUGAGCUCAACUCAGGAACUGCACUCCAAACUGCUUUGCUUGAGGCCGGGAGAGGUGAGUGGAAUUCCCAGUGUAGCGGUGAAAUGCGUAGAUAUUGGGAGGAGCACCAGUGGCGAAGGCGGCUCACUGGACCGGUUCUGACGCUGAUGCGCGAAAGCGUGGGGAGCAAACGGG
This 253-nucleotide ribosomal RNA is filed under the name uncultured bacterium. Its description in RNAcentral is "partial 16S ribosomal RNA". It matches the Rfam family "Bacterial small subunit ribosomal RNA", at positions 524 to 776 of the family's 1533-position model. The record is from RNAcentral.